This 879-nucleotide ribosomal RNA is filed under the name Escherichia coli. RNAcentral describes it as "partial 23S ribosomal RNA". It matches the Rfam family "Bacterial large subunit ribosomal RNA", at positions 585 to 1468 of the family's 2925-position model. The record is from RNAcentral. Lineage: Bacteria; Pseudomonadati; Pseudomonadota; Gammaproteobacteria; Enterobacterales; Enterobacteriaceae.
UUUAUGGGGUGACUGCGUACCUUUUGUAUAAUGGGUCAGCGACUUAUAUUCUGUAGCAAGGUUAACCGAAUAGGGGAGCCGAAGGGAAACCGAGUCUUAACUGGGCGUUAAGUUGCAGGGUAUAGACCCGAAACCCGGUGAUCUAGCCAUGGGCAGGUUGAAGGUUGGGUAACACUAACUGGAGGACCGAACCGACUAAUGUUGAAAAAUUAGCGGAUGACUUGUGGCUGGGGGUGAAAGGCCAAUCAAACCGGGAGAUAGCUGGUUCUCCCCGAAAGCUAUUUAGGUAGCGCCUCGUGAAUUCAUCUCCGGGGGUAGAGCACUGUUUCGGCAAGGGGGUCAUCCCGACUUACCAACCCGAUGCAAACUGCGAAUACCGGAGAAUGUUAUCACGGGAGACACACGGCGGGUGCUAACGUCCGUCGUGAAGAGGGAAACAACCCAGACCGCCAGCUAAGGUCCCAAAGUCAUGGUUAAGUGGGAAACGAUGUGGGAAGGCCCAGACAGCCAGGAUGUUGGCUUAGAAGCAGCCAUCAUUUAAAGAAAGCGUAAUAGCUCACUGGUCGAGUCGGCCUGCGCGGAAGAUGUAACGGGGCUAAACCAUGCACCGAAGCUGCGGCAGCGACGCUUAUGCGUUGUUGGGUAGGGGAGCGUUCUGUAAGCCUGUGAAGGUGUGCUGUGAGGCAUGCUGGAGGUAUCAGAAGUGCGAAUGCUGACAUAAGUAACGAUAAAGCGGGUGAAAAGCCCGCUCGCCGGAAGACCAAGGGUUCCUGUCCAACGUUAAUCGGGGCAGGGUGAGUCGACCCCUAAGGCGAGGCCGAAAGGCGUAGUCGAUGGGAAACAGGUUAAUAUUCCUGUACUUGGUGUUACUGCGAAGGG